GACGAACGCUGGCGGCGUGCUUAACACAUGCAGGUCGAACGGAAAGGCCCUGCUUUUGUGGGGUGCUCGAGUGGCGAACGGGUGAGUAACACGUGAGUAACCUGCCCUUGACUUUGGGAUAAUUUCAGGAAACUGGGGCUAAUACCGGAUAGGAGCUCCUGCUGCAUGGUGGGGUUUGGAAAGUUUCGGCGGUUGGGGAUGGACUCGCGGCUUAUCAGCUUGUUGGUGGGGUAGUGGCUUACCAAGGCUUUGACGGGUAGCCGGCCUGAGAGGGUGACCGGCCACAUUGGGACUGAGAUACGGCCCAGACUCCUACGGGAGGCAGCAGUGGGGAAUAUUGCACAAUGGGCGGAAGCCUGAUGCAGCAACGCCGCGUGCGGGAUGACGGCCUUCGGGUUGUAAACCGCUUUCGCCUGUGACGAAGCGUGAGUGACGGUAAUGGGUAAAGAAGCACCGGCUAACUACGUG
RNAcentral lists this ribosomal RNA (468 nucleotides) under uncultured bacterium. RNAcentral's name for it is "partial 16S ribosomal RNA". It matches the Rfam family "Bacterial small subunit ribosomal RNA", at positions 28 to 507 of the family's 1533-position model. The record is from RNAcentral.